Molecule: ribosomal RNA, 301 nt
Filed under: uncultured bacterium
Lineage: Bacteria
Description: partial 16S ribosomal RNA
Rfam family: Bacterial small subunit ribosomal RNA
Source: RNAcentral
CAGCCGCCGCGGUAAUACGUAGGUGGCAAGCGUUGUCCGGAAUUAUUGGGCAUAAAGGGCUCGCAGGCGGUUUCUUAAGUCUGAUGUGAAAGCCCCCGGCUCAACCGGGGAGGGUCAUUGGAAACUGGGAAACUUGAGUGCAGAAGAGGAGAGUGGAAUUCCACGUGUAGCGGUGAAAUGCGUAGAGAUGUGGAGGAACACCAGUGGCGAAGGCGACUCUCUGGUCUGUAACUGACGCUGAGGAGCGAAAGCGUGGGGAGCGAACAGGAUUAGAGACCCCGGUAGUCCCUGUCUCUUAUAC